Molecule: long non-coding RNA, 336 nt
Organism: Alligator mississippiensis (American alligator)
Lineage: Eukaryota; Metazoa; Chordata; Crocodylia; Alligatoridae
Exons: 3
Source: RefSeq, a predicted model, not a curated record
UUGUUUUUGUAUGUGUUGUGACUAGUCGUUGUCACCUUCAAGCUGUAUAUUAAGCUGCCUGCAGUGGAAGUUUAUCCAAUUUAAUAUUACCAGCUUUCAAGCCAUGAAGUUGAUUUUUCAAAUCCUUGCUUUCCUGUACAAAUCUCUAUGUAUAACUGGACCCUUAAGAAGGACAAUGAAAAACCUAAAUGGAGGCACAGAGACCCUGCUGCAAAACCCACUGUGGGCAAUCUCCACGCAGAUCUCAUUUCCCUGUUCUUUGUGUCCCCCAGCUACAGCACAGCACUUCAACAUGUAAUGAAUGGUGUUAUGAACAAUCUGCUUUAUGUAACCGAG